Molecule: ribosomal RNA, 1330 nt
Filed under: uncultured bacterium
Lineage: Bacteria
Description: partial 16S ribosomal RNA
Rfam family: Bacterial small subunit ribosomal RNA
Source: RNAcentral
GAGGGGCAUCGGGGCGAGGAGCAAUCCUUGCCGCCGGCGACCGGCGCACGGGUGAGUAACGCGUAUGCGACCUGCCCGUUGCAGGGGGAUAAUCGGGAGAAAUCCCGUCUAAUACCGCGUAAUGCCGCGGGGCUGCAUGGCCCUGCGGCCAAAGGAAGCGAUUCCGGCAACGGAUGGGCAUGCGUGACAUUAGCUAGUUGGCGGGGCAACGGCCCACCAAGGCGACGAUGUCUAGGGGUUCUGAGAGGAAGGUCCCCCACACUGGUACUGAGACACGGACCAGACUCCUACGGGAGGCAGCAGUGAGGAAUAUUGGUCAAUGGGCGCGAGCCUGAACCAGCCAAGUCGCGUGAGAGAUGACGGCCCUACGGGUUGUAAACCUCUUUUGUCGGGGAGCAAAUUCCGCCACGCGUGGCGGAGUCGAGAGUACCCGAAGAAAAAGCAUCGGCUAACUCCGUGCCAGCAGCCGCGGUAAUACGGAGGAUGCGAGCGUUAUCCGGAUUUAUUGGGUUUAAAGGGUGCGUAGGCGGACUGUCAAGUCAGCGGUAAAAUACGGGGGCUCAACCUCCGCCCGCCGUUGAAACUGACGGUCUUGAGUGGGCGAGAAGUAUGCGGAAUGCGUGGUGUAGCGGUGAAAUGCAUAGAUAUCACGCAGAACUCCGAUUGCGAAGGCAGCAUACCGGCGCCCAACUGACGCUGAAGCACGAAAGCGUGGGUAUCGAACAGGAUUAGAUACCCUGGUAGUCCACGCAGUAAACGAUGAAUACUAGCUGUCCGGGGCGAAUGAGCUCUGGGUGGCACAGCGAAAGCGUUAAGUAUUCCACCUGGGGAGUACGCCGGCAACGGUGAAACUCAAAGGAAUUGACGGGGGCCCGCACAAGCGGAGGAACAUGUGGUUUAAUUCGAUGAUACGCGAGGAACCUUACCCGGGCUCAAACGACACAGGAACGGUCCUGAAAGGGGUCGGCUCUACGGAGCCUGUGUCGAGGUGCUGCAUGGUUGUCGUCAGCUCGUGCCGUGAGGUGUCGGCUUAAGUGCCAUAACGAGCGCAACCCCCAUCGACAGUUGCUAACAGAUUAGGCUGAGGACUCUGUCGAGACUGCCGGCGCAAGCUGCGAGGAAGGCGGGGAUGACGUCAAAUCAGCACGGCCCUUACGUCCGGGGCGACACACGUGUUACAAUGGCAGGUACAGCGGGAAGCCACCUGGCGACAGGGAGCGGAACCCGAAAGCCUGUCUCAGUUCGGAUUGGAGUCUGCAACCCGACUCCAUGAAGCUGGAUUCGCUAGUAAUCGCGCAUCAGCCACGGCGCGGUGAAUACGUUCCCGGGC